Molecule: ribosomal RNA, 472 nt
Filed under: uncultured bacterium
Lineage: Bacteria
Description: partial 16S ribosomal RNA
Rfam family: Bacterial small subunit ribosomal RNA
Source: RNAcentral
GACGAACGCUGGCGGCGUGCUUAACACAUGCAAGUCGAACGGGAGUAUCGAAGAAGCUUGCUUUUAAGAUACUUUAGUGGCGGACGGGUGAGUAACGCGUGAGGAGCUGUCCUAUGCAGGGGGACAACAGUUGGAAACGACUGCUAAUACCCCAUAAGCCGAGAGGUAAAAGGAUUUAUCCGGCACAGGAGGUACUCGCGUCCUAUCAGCUAGUAGGUGAGGUAACGGCUCACCUAGGAGAAGACGGGUAGCCGGCCUGAGAGGACGAACGGGCACACUGUAACUGUGAUACGGUCCAGACUCCUACGGGAGGCAGCAGUGGGGAAUAUUGGGCAAUGGGGGCAACCCUGACCCAGCGACGCCGCGUGGGUGAAGAAAUCCUUCGGGAUGUAAAGCCCUGUCGUAUGGGAAGAGCAGAAGACGGUACCAUACGAGGAAGCCCCGGCAAACUACGUGCCAGCCGCCGCCGUAA